This 65-nucleotide transfer RNA is filed under the name Lissocarcinus arkati. Its description in RNAcentral is "tRNA-Thr". It matches the Rfam family "tRNA". Rfam says of the family: Transfer RNA (tRNA) molecules are approximately 80 nucleotides in length. Their secondary structure includes four short double-helical elements and three loops (D, anti-codon, and T loops). The record is from RNAcentral. Lineage: Eukaryota; Metazoa; Arthropoda; Malacostraca; Decapoda; Portunidae.
GUUUUAAUAGUUUAAGAAAAACUUUGGUCUUGUAAACCAAAAAUGAAAUAUUAUUUCUUAGAACU